RNAcentral lists this ribosomal RNA (301 nucleotides) under uncultured bacterium. Its description in RNAcentral is "partial 16S ribosomal RNA". It matches the Rfam family "Bacterial small subunit ribosomal RNA", at positions 509 to 807 of the family's 1533-position model. The record is from RNAcentral.
CAGUCGCCGCGGUAAUACGUAGGGUCCGAGCGUUGUCCGGAAUUAUUGGGCGUAAAGAGCUCGUAUGCGGUCUGUCGCGUCUGCCGUGAAAUCCUCAGGCUCAACCUGAGGCGUGCGGUGGGUACGGGCAGGCUAGAGUGCGGUAGGGGAGAAUGGAACUCCUGGUGUAGCGGUGGAAUGCGCAGAUAUCAGGAAGAACACCGAUGGCGAAGGCAGUUCUCUGGGCCGUAACUGACGCUGAGGAGCGAAAGCGUGGGGAGCGAACAGGAUUAGAUACCCCAGUAGUCCCUGUCUCUUAUAC